UCAGGAGAAGAACACAGUCGAGGAAUAACCUCCAGUAAUUGAAAAAGAGUAUUUUUUUGUGAAACAGACCACUGAUAAAGAUGAGCGCCUGGGGUGGAGGAGGUGGAGGUGGAGGAGGAGGCGGCGGAGGUGGUGGAGGUGGCGGAGGUGGCGGAGGACGUCGGUGGUGCUGGUGGGGGUGGUGCUGAUUCAUCUUUAACUUCAGAUUCAAUUUCAAGUCAUACUUAAUCUGAUUUUGUCUGAAUCUUAUGCGAAGAUUAUUAAGCCAAUAAAGUCUUAAAAUAAAAUAAAAAUCAGUGAGAGCUGAAA
Clarias gariepinus (North African catfish) is the source of this 309-nucleotide long non-coding RNA. RefSeq lists it as uncharacterized. Lineage: Eukaryota; Metazoa; Chordata; Actinopteri; Siluriformes; Clariidae. The record is from RefSeq and is a predicted model, not a curated record. The transcript is spliced from 4 exons.